UACGGGGGGGGCAAGCGUUGUUCGGAAUUACUGGGCGUAAAGGGCUCGUAGGUGGCCAACUAAGUCAGACGUGAAAUCCCUCGGCUUAACCGGGGAACUGCGUCUGAUACUGGAUGGCUUGAGUUUGGGAGAGGGAUGCGGAAUUCCAGGUGUAGCGGUGAAAUGCGUAGAUAUCAGGAGGAACACCGGUGGCGAAGGCGGUUCUCUGGGCAUGAUCUGACGCUGAGGAGCGAAAGUGUGGGGAGCGAACAGG
RNAcentral lists this ribosomal RNA (253 nucleotides) under uncultured bacterium. RNAcentral's name for it is "partial 16S ribosomal RNA". It matches the Rfam family "Bacterial small subunit ribosomal RNA", at positions 524 to 776 of the family's 1533-position model. The record is from RNAcentral.